UACAGAGGGUGCAAGCGUUGUUCGGAAUUAUUGGGCGUAAAGCGCGUGUAGGCGGCUUGGCAAGUCGGGUGUGAAAUCCCUCAGCUCAACUGAGGAAGUGCGCCCGAAACUGCUGAGCUUGAGUACUGGAGAGGGUGGCGAAAUUCCCCAUGUAGAGGUGAAAUUCGUAGAUAUGGGGAGGAACACCGGUGGCGAAGGCGGCCACCUGGCCAGAUACUGACGCUGAGACGCGAAAGCGUGGGUAGCAAACGAGG
RNAcentral lists this ribosomal RNA (254 nucleotides) under uncultured bacterium. RNAcentral's name for it is "partial 16S ribosomal RNA". It matches the Rfam family "Bacterial small subunit ribosomal RNA", at positions 524 to 777 of the family's 1533-position model. The record is from RNAcentral.